GGAGGCUGGCGGCGGACGUGUCCAUCGCCAACCGGGUCAGGUCGGGAACGAAGCAGCCCUAACGAUAUCCGAUAUGGGUCGCUGUCCAGUCUCCGCU
This 97-nucleotide signal recognition particle RNA is filed under the name Alphaproteobacteria bacterium. RNAcentral's name for it is "signal recognition particle sRNA small type". It matches the Rfam family "Bacterial small signal recognition particle RNA". From Rfam's summary of the family: The signal recognition particle (SRP) is a universally conserved ribonucleoprotein involved in the co-translational targeting of proteins to membranes. Lineage: Bacteria; Pseudomonadati; Pseudomonadota; Alphaproteobacteria. The record is from RNAcentral.